AAUUUGGAAUUGACGAAGUCAAAAGACUCAAAACAAAUGUCAAGGCCAUAUUUUUAAUUUGAUUUGAGAGUCUAAACGGAACAAGGAAGCUUCUUCGCCGGCCCAAAGAAACGAUCUUUAACAAUAAUGUCCCUCUGCUACCACCCGAUUACAUGAGCUCAGCCAAUAACAGAGUGCCACGUCAUAUCUUGGGCUCAAAGUUCCAUUGUUAACUGUGGGCGCGUAACCCUGGUUAUUUUUGUGGUUGGAGGUGAACCUCUCACAUAUAACUCCCCUGCUCUUUCGACUUAGUGGAUUGGGCAAAUUAACAAACUGACUCACUGAGUCACUGUGUUCCUCCUAUCGUUUCAAGGAUUUCUUGUAAGAUAGCUAAGAUCCACUACGCAACUAGAUCUAGAAAAGCCAUGGGCAAUUCAAUAAGAAAAGGUGCAUCAGGAGAGAAUCUAACGAGGCCAUUAUUUGUAGGUGAACAGGCAUGAUGAGACAGAGAGACUUCCAGUUCUGGAGCAUCAGGGAGAGAACCUCGCUGAAAUCGAUAUUUUCUCAGGAGGUGACUUUCUGGAAUUGCGGGAUCUGGAUAACCCAGCAUCUUCUUCAAGUUCAAGAAAUUCAAGCGCCGGGAGCACUUCAUCAAAUGAAUGUUUUGAUUCAAUUGCUCUCUUGCAAGACCUUGAGGACCCGAUUUCAGAACAGAAUGAUGCAUGUAAAAAGCUUAAUGUCUCUGCAUCCAACAAAUCAGACUAGGUGUUUAUGGUUCCAACCACUUUAGCAGGGAGUAGAGAUCUUAACCACUAGGUUGCAUAGCAUGUCAAAGGGGAUCAAAUGGGUGAAGGUCCAUUAUCAUCAUCAUCAUCAUCAUCAUCAUCAUCAGCUCAUAAAUAGUCCACAUCAUCCAAGAGCUACACGGCAGCAGCAGGUGGAAGGAAGCGAGCGCACUUGGUGGAAUGAAAAAAGUUCUAAAGAAGUUGCCAUUUUAGAUAGUUCUCACAUAAGGCAUUUGUAAGAUAGUAAACUUGUAUCAUCUGUCAUCAUAUUUGGUAGAUUAAUUAUAUCAUAUGUUGUUGUAGAUUAACUGUUAUGUAUCAGCUCCUACAAGGUCAGGGCUUAUACAAAUGAAUGAAAUUUUUAUUCAAAGAUGAUAAAUCUAAACCAAAAUGCAUAUGAGUGGAUCCAAGUUCGGGGCAGGCUAUUUGGAUGACUUUCUUCCCCAAUUGGGUUAGCUGGUGUUGAGCAAUUUAAAUUUGGGUUCAGCUACAGAGACCGUUCAAGGUUAAAGGGCUGCAGGGAGUCCAAAAUGCCCUGCUCAGAGUGCCUCAUAUUAUUAGGUAAGAGAUGCAGAGAAUCAAAACAGAAUAAUGGAGCCGUCAGCUAUGGACUACUUUUUUCCAAAGGCCCAGCAGGCAAGCCUGGAGAAAUAACCUAAACCAAUCAAAGUAUUGUAUGCGUUAAAGUAGGA
This is a non-coding RNA of Durio zibethinus, 1456 nucleotides long. NCBI's taxonomy places the organism in Eukaryota, Viridiplantae, Streptophyta, Magnoliopsida, Malvales, Malvaceae. The record is from RefSeq and is a predicted model, not a curated record.